This is a long non-coding RNA of Episyrphus balteatus (marmalade hoverfly), 324 nucleotides long. RefSeq lists it as uncharacterized. Lineage: Eukaryota; Metazoa; Arthropoda; Insecta; Diptera; Syrphidae. The transcript has 3 exons. The record is from RefSeq and is a predicted model, not a curated record.
AAGACUUAUUAAGCGGUAUAAAAAAAUGGUGUUUUUAUAACCAAGCGCUCAAAAAGCUGAUAAAAAACUUCUACUUAGCUGGUACUUGGGCCAUUUACUCGAGCUUUUUAUAUGUUAACUUCAACGUUCUCAAAUAUAUGGGAAGAGUGGAUGAAUGAUGAGAUUGAGAAAUAUUCAAAAGAUGUCAACCUAAUGGGUACAUAAUUCCGACCCAAAAAACCCAAAUAUUCAUUUAUGUACCUCCUUAAGAAGAGUAGAUAUAUUUUUCCAGGUUUUUUAUGAUUUUAAUUUAAUUUUUUUAUUCCAUGUAUUUAAUUUAGAAUA